UCUGAGAAUGGGCCUGUAAAACAGGCCCAUAGAGGGGGGAAACUCAUGGAAGGGGCUGUAGACUGCAUCAUUCUGCAGUAUGGAAGGAACUGGAGCGUAAUACACCUCACUGCAUGACAGCUACCCUGCAGCUGCUGAGCGCAAAGUGAUGCCAUGGCAGCAGUGCUGGGGUUGGGGUUGCCCCGGUGUGGGGUUUUUGCUCACUCUUUCCACAUAGGCCAGCAGCAGCACCAGGCACACUUUGCCACUCCACCAAUUUGUGGUCAUGUUCCAGCUCAGUCGAUUUGCAAGACUUGAAAAGAAGAGGUGAUGCACACAAGGGACCCGGCAGCGCUCGUCCCUCCCUGUGGUUCUUGCUAAGGCUCCACCAAUGCAGAAUAGAUCAGGGCUAGGAAUAAACAUUUG
Molecule: long non-coding RNA, 405 nt
Filed under: Gallus gallus (chicken)
Lineage: Eukaryota; Metazoa; Chordata; Aves; Galliformes; Phasianidae
Description: long non-coding RNA NONGGAT005276
Source: RNAcentral